Molecule: ribosomal RNA, 253 nt
Filed under: uncultured bacterium
Lineage: Bacteria
Description: partial 16S ribosomal RNA
Rfam family: Bacterial small subunit ribosomal RNA
Source: RNAcentral
GACGAGCCACACAAACGUUAUUCGGAAUCACUGGGCUUAAAGGGUGCGUAGGCGGUGCGGUAAGUUGGAUGUGAAAUCCUACAGCUUAACUGUAGAAGUGCAUUCAAAACUACCGUGCUUGAGGGAGACAGAGGUGAGCGGAACUGAGGGUGGAGCGGUGAAAUGCGUUGAUAUCCUCAGGAACACCGGUGGCGUAAGCGGCUCACUGGGUCUCUUCUGACGCUGAGGCACGAAAGCUAGGGGAGCAAACGGG